CCUACGGGAGGCAGCAGUGAGGAAUAUUGGUCAAUGGACGAGAGUCUGAACCAGCCAAGUAGCGUGAAGGAUGACUGCCCUAUGGGUUGUAAACUUCUUUUAUAUGGGAAUAAAAUGUUCCACGUGUGGGACUUUGUAUGUACCAUAUGAAUAAGGAUCGGCUAACUCCGUGCCAGCAGCCGCGGUAAUACGGAGGAUCCGAGCGUUAUCCGGAUUUAUUGGGUUUAAAGGGAGCGUAGGUGGAUUGUUAAGUCAGUUGUGAAAGUUUGCGGCUCAACCGUAAAAUUGCAGUUGAAACUGGCAGUCUUGAGUACAGUAGAGGUGGGCGGAAUGCGUGGUGUAGCGGUGAAAUGCUUAGAUAUCACGAAGAACUCCGAUUGCGAAGGCAGCUCACUGGACUGCAACUGACACUGAGGCUCGAAAGUGUGGGUAUCAAACAGGAUUAGAUACCCCAGUAGUC
RNAcentral lists this ribosomal RNA (460 nucleotides) under uncultured bacterium. Its description in RNAcentral is "partial 16S ribosomal RNA". It matches the Rfam family "Bacterial small subunit ribosomal RNA", at positions 338 to 795 of the family's 1533-position model. The record is from RNAcentral.